Molecule: long non-coding RNA, 1079 nt
Organism: Ctenopharyngodon idella (grass carp)
Lineage: Eukaryota; Metazoa; Chordata; Actinopteri; Cypriniformes; Xenocyprididae
Exons: 2
Source: RefSeq, a predicted model, not a curated record
CUUCAGAACCUCGAUGGAGAUUAGGUCUUCCGGGUACUUCUUACCUACUCUUUUAUGAAUACUGUGAAAUCAUUUCACCUACUAUUUUUCGACCUACUAUAUAGUAGGGAAGAAUGCGAUUUCGGAUGCAGCCUACACCAAACGCGACGCGAUGCUGCGACACGCCAUAAAAGGCGUUCCUCUGGAGAGCUUGGAUUUGCUGCUUGGUUUUUCCUUCCCACAAGCUUCUGCACAUGGGUCCUACCAAGUGGAUUUGAACAAUUCCCUUUUCUCAAUACCUGACCUUGAGUUUGUUCUUUACUGCCACUGUUUUUGAAGUGGAGGGAACUGUUCUCUCUCUUGAAGAUUUCUAUAACCCUGGAAGAAUGGAAAAUGAUCUAGUUCUUCCGAUUUUCGAUUAGUGCUUCUGUACAUGUCGCUGCAUGUGACAUGGCCUCUGUUUCACCUUGCAGAGGAUGUGAUUGACGGUGGAGCUGAGAAUUCCUUCUUAUAGGAAAAGUUUUUUUUUUUUUUUUGUCUAAUUCCAGCUCAUUUCCAAUGCAUACAGCUUCCUUUGUAGGCGAAAGCUUCCUGCUACCUUUAUUUCACAGAUGAUUUACAGAGAUAUGUCAUAUAUAAAUAGUUUUUUCUGUCUUUCUUGCUUUUCUGUCAUAUAUGUGGCUGCAUCUCGUAUUGAUUGAUGGAACAAAUUCUUAAUAUAAACGAUAAGCUUUUGUCAGAUUUGUUCCUCUGUGCCACACGAGAUAUCAGCACUGCAGAAACCUGUGUGAAGCUCAUUUCUAUUCUUCACACUUAGUCGGCUAGCUUUUUAUUUAUUUCCUUUUGAAUGCUUUCAUUUCAAAUUGUUAUUUUUUUUUUUAUUGCUUUUUUUCUUUCAAACCCUGGCCUAAGAGCUUUGAAUGAACAAACUAAGUGAGUAACAAAUACACAGACAACCUGGAUAUUGGUAUAAUGUCUCAAUGUUUGCAAAACCCUCAAUUCUUCAUACAUUUUCUGAUUGAGAAAGUGUUGGGAAAUCUUACUUUUAAAAUUAAUGUUACACUGAUCUAUAAUAGAGAAUAAACACUCUUAGAAGAAAA